GACGAACGCUGGCGGCGUGCCUAAUACAUGCAAGUCGAGCGGACUUUCAAGAAGCUUGCUUUUUGAAAGUUAGCGGCGGACGGGUGAGUAACACGUGGGCAACCUGCCUGCAAGACGGGGAUAACUCCGGGAAACCGGGGCUAAUACCGGAUAAUAUCUUCCUUCGCAUGAAGGAAGGUUGAAAGGCGGCGCAAGCUGCCGCUUGCAGAUGGGCCCGCGGCGCAUUAGCUAGUUGGUGAGGUAACGGCUCACCAAGGCGACGAUGCGUAGCCGACCUGAGAGGGUGAUCGGCCACACUGGGACUGAGACACGGCCCAGACUCCUACGGGAGGCAGCAGUAGGGAAUCUUCCGCAAUGGACGAAAGUCUGACGGAGCAACGCCGCGUGAGCGAAGAAGGUCUUCGGAUCGUAAAGCUCUGUUGUCAGGGAAGAACAAGUACCGUUCGAACAGGGCGGUACCUUGACGGUACCUGACCAGAAAGCCACGGCUAACUACGUGCCAGCAGCCGCGGUAAUACGUAGGUGGCAAGCGUUGUCCGGAAUUUAUUGGGCGUAAAGCGCGCGCAGGCGGUCUCUUAAUUCUGAUGUGAAAGCCCACGGCUCAACCGUGGAGGGUCAUUGGAAAGUGGGAGACUGAGUGCAGAAAGAGGAGAGCGAAUUUCCACGCUGUACCGCUA
This 677-nucleotide ribosomal RNA is filed under the name uncultured Bacillus sp. RNAcentral's name for it is "bacterial SSU rRNA". It matches the Rfam family "Bacterial small subunit ribosomal RNA", at positions 28 to 683 of the family's 1533-position model. The record is from RNAcentral. Lineage: Bacteria; Bacillati; Bacillota; Bacilli; Caryophanales; Bacillaceae.